CUUGCUAUCAGGCGUCGAGCGGCGGACGGGUGAGUAAUACUUAGGAAUCUACCUAGUAGUGGGGGAUAGCACGGGGAAACUCGUAUUAAUACCGCAUACGACCUACGGGAGAAAGGGGGCAGUUUACUGCUCUCGCUAUUAGAUGAGCCUAAGUCGGAUUAGCUAGAUGGUGGGGUAAAGGCCUACCAUGGCGACGAUCUGUAGCUGGUCUGAGAGGAUGAUCAGCCACACCGGGACUGAGACACGGCCCGGACUCCUACGGGAGGCAGCAGUGGGGAAUAUUGGACAAUGGGGGAAACCCUGAUCCAGCCAUGCCGCGUGUGUGAAGAAGGCCUUUUGGUUGUAAAGCACUUUAAGCAGUGAAGAAGACUCCGUGGUUAAUACCCACGGACGAUGACAUUAGCUGCAGAAUAAGCACCGGCUAACUCUGUGCCAGCAGCCGCGGUAAUACAGAGGGUGCAAGCGUUAAUCGGAAUUACUGGGCGUAAAGGGAGCGUAGGUGGCUCGAUAAGUCAGAUGUGAAAUCCCCGGGCUCAACCUGGGAACUGCAUCUGAUACUGUUGAGCUAGAGU
RNAcentral lists this ribosomal RNA (572 nucleotides) under Psychrobacter sp. Its description in RNAcentral is "bacterial SSU rRNA". It matches the Rfam family "Bacterial small subunit ribosomal RNA", at positions 75 to 647 of the family's 1533-position model. Lineage: Bacteria; Pseudomonadati; Pseudomonadota; Gammaproteobacteria; Moraxellales; Moraxellaceae. The record is from RNAcentral.